This 534-nucleotide ribosomal RNA is filed under the name Triticum aestivum (bread wheat). RNAcentral's name for it is "partial small subunit ribosomal RNA". The record is from RNAcentral. Lineage: Eukaryota; Viridiplantae; Streptophyta; Magnoliopsida; Poales; Poaceae.
AUGGACAACUUUGUUUUCCUUCCUGUUGUUGGCACCAGAGGGGGCAUCCUCAUUGCCGCCUCCUCUGAUCACAUCAAAGUUACUCCGCAACCGCCGUUACAGGGGACUUUCUCAGUGUCCGUGCUGAUCACCGACCUCUGCUGCAACUCGUCUUGGCUAUUGACAGGGGUCUACGGCCCACAAUCUGACGAGGACAAACUCAACUUCUUGAAUGAGAUCAGACACAUCAAAGCCUUGGCUCCGUCUGAAUGGGUUGUACUUGGAGACUUUAACCUUAUUAGUCGUGCAUCCGAGAAGAGCAACAGCAAUAUCAACCUUCGUAUGAUUCGUGCCUUUCGUGCCGCCAUUGAUGAUCUGCAUUUAAAGGAAUUGCCCCUGAUCGGACGCCGCUUCACCUGGUCAAAUGAAAGGUUGAAUUCUACCCUAACCAAGAUAGACAAAGUGUUGUUCACUGAGGAGUGGGAAUCAAGAUACCCUGACUUCCAGCUACUGCCGGGAUCCACUGACAUCUCUGACCAUUGCCCUCGGAUCAUG